CGGGCGGUUCGCCGCCCGCGACUCGGCGAGAAGUCCAUUGAACCUUAUCAUUUAGAGGAAGGAGAAGUCGUAACAAGGUUUCCGUAGGUGAACCUGCGGAAGGAUCAUUG
RNAcentral lists this ribosomal RNA (110 nucleotides) under Koellensteinia graminea. RNAcentral describes it as "partial 18S ribosomal RNA". It matches the Rfam family "Eukaryotic small subunit ribosomal RNA", at positions 1707 to 1831 of the family's 1831-position model. Lineage: Eukaryota; Viridiplantae; Streptophyta; Magnoliopsida; Asparagales; Orchidaceae. RNAcentral also lists the same sequence under 54 other names. The record is from RNAcentral.